This 253-nucleotide ribosomal RNA is filed under the name uncultured bacterium. RNAcentral's name for it is "partial 16S ribosomal RNA". It matches the Rfam family "Bacterial small subunit ribosomal RNA", at positions 524 to 776 of the family's 1533-position model. The record is from RNAcentral.
UACGGAGGGUGCAAGCGUUAUCCGGAUUCACUGGGUUUAAAGGGCGCGUAGGCGGCACCGCAAGUCGACUGUGAAAUCUCCGGGCUUAACUCGGAAAGGUCAGCCGAUACUGCGGGGCUAGAGUGCAGAAGGGGCAACUGGAAUUCUCGGUGUAGCGGUGAAAUGCGUAGAUAUCGAGCGGAACACCAGUGGCGAAGGCGAGUCCCUGGACAAUUCCUGACACUGAGGCACGAAAGCUAGGGGAGCAAACAGG